This 443-nucleotide ribosomal RNA is filed under the name uncultured bacterium. RNAcentral's name for it is "partial 16S ribosomal RNA". It matches the Rfam family "Bacterial small subunit ribosomal RNA", at positions 338 to 795 of the family's 1533-position model. The record is from RNAcentral.
CCUACGGGUGGCAGCAGUGGGGAAUAUUGGGCAAUGGACGCAAGCCUGACCCAGCAACGCCGCGUGCAGGAAGAAGGCUUUCUGGUUGUAAACUUCUUUUCUCAGGGACGAAGCAAGUGACGGUACCUGCGGAAUAAGCCACGGCUAACUACGUGCCAGCAGCCGCGGUAAUACGGAGGUGGCAAGCGUUAUCCGGAUUUACUGGGUGUAAGGGGCGUGUAGGCGGGACUGCAAGUCAGAUGUGAAAUCCACGGGCUCAACCUGUGGCCUGCAUUUGAAACUGUAGUGCUUGAGUACUGGAGCGGCAGACGGAAUUCCUAGUGUAGCGGUGAAAUGCGUAGAUAUUAGGAGGAACACCAGUGGCGAAGGCGGUCUGCUGGACAGCAACUGACGCUGAGGCGCGAAAGCGUGGGGAGCAAAUAGGAUUAGAUACCCCUGUAGUC